Haliaeetus leucocephalus (bald eagle) is the source of this 4365-nucleotide RNA transcript. It is a transcript of the gene named histone deacetylase 3, with no coding region annotated. The transcript has 17 exons. Lineage: Eukaryota; Metazoa; Chordata; Aves; Accipitriformes; Accipitridae. The record is from RefSeq and is a predicted model, not a curated record.
CAGCUUCCAGAGCAGGUAUUUCAGGCUUCGGCAUGUGUGAAGGGUGCCGGAGACCCGUGCGUCGUCCUGCUGACUUCAGUCGUGGCCUCCACGUUAAGGCUUGGUCAGUGUUAGUACGUUCUUGGCAGCUUUCUUGUGUUGCUGCCUCUCCUUCAGUUCCACUUUUGGCACAGCAGGUAACAGAGUUGUUGCAGACAAGGUUUUAAGCAGUCUCCGGCAUUCUCAUCGGCCUGAGCCCCCACCAUACCACCCAGAGCUGCUUUGAAAGCCACCGCUGUUGGCUGUUAGUGUCUUGUUCAAACGUGUGCAUAUAGUGUUGUGCCUGGAGGUGCAGCAGUGCCCCUGGGGACCAUGCACGGGAUUCUGGUGUCUGUAGCCCUUUCUAGAAAGGACCCAGCGACCGCUGUGGACCGUGUGACCGUAGAAUAGUAAAGCUCAAAAAAAAAAACCCUCAAGAGGCUUGCUAAUUCACCUUGAUGCCUUAAUGGUGUUCACUAAUCCCAUCUCAUACCUGAUUGGUGAUUGUACAACCUGUUCUUCAAAGCCUUUGUUGCCCAGCCAGCUCAAACAACUUAGUCCAGAGCUCUCCGGUUCUUACUGCUAGAAAGACUUUCUCCUCCUAAAAUCUAGCCUGUGUAAACCUGAUAAAACAUGAUUAGCCUGUAGCCAUAAUCAAAAAGAAAACUUAAAUCUUCAUCCUUCAAGAAAUGAACUAGUUUGGGGAUAGUGGAAUAUCACUAUGAAUGUGUGGUACCCCUCUUUUGAAUUAUUUUAUCCCACUUGGUGCAAGUGGGAUUGAACGGUGCUCCUUUCCCUACAAUCCUUGUUCACUUUUUUUGCCUGUUCUUGCAGCAUAGAACAAAUGAAAAGCUCUCACAGGGCAUGUAACUUAAUGCCCCAUGAUACAAGAUCAAGGCAGGAAUAGUAAAGUCUUCUACCAUUCUGCCCAUUUUGAUGUACAAAACAAGCCACAUGCAGCUGCUGAUUGUUCUGGGGCAUCUCAUUUUGUCUCCUGUUGGCUUAUGCUUGCUUUCGGUGCAGUGAGAUUGCUUCUGAGCUGUUUCGGACCGUUGAGCAAUUUAAUUCCUGGGCUGACUGGCACAGUUCCAGGUCAUGCUAUCUGAUCCAGAGGCUGGGUUUAGCUGCUGCCUAUUGUCUCCACAGCCUGUGACCUGUUUGAUGUGCCCUGGGAAAGGGCCCAUACCCAGAAUGUUAUUCUAAAUGUUGUAGGCUACAGCUUCUGGCACUUCUGGUUUUAUGUACAUAUAUGGGCAUACACACAUGCAUUUACAGUGUCUUUUCAUGGGAAUUACCUCAUUAAGAGGUGAAGAGCACUUCUGUCACAGUCAUCAUCAUAUGUAGCUAGCAAACAAGGAGGGGAGGUGAAAGGAGGGCACAAAACUGUCAUUGCUCUGAUCUGCGAGGGAUGUUAGGACUUUCCCCUGUCCUUCCUCUUUGUGCUUGUGCACCUCACCCUUCUGCAGUGGGGCUCUGCUCCUUGUGAUGCUCUGCAAACCAGCCGCUUCCCCCGUUAUUCAUGAGCCUGAACUGGGUGACCCCGGAGCUUACUCUGAGGUGUGUGCUCUCAGAAUGAUUGUAGAACUCAAUAGUGGGUUGUUGCGUGUAGUUGUAGAUGAUUGCAAGGAACUGGUAAUAGUUGGGCUUGUUUUGAGGCUGUAGAGAAGAAAGCAUGAUCAACUUGUUUCAGUGAUGUGUUUUCACAUCUGCGGCAUGGUUUAGGGAUAAAUCAUGAGCUGCUGUGAAAACAUGGUGAUUGUGCAGAGCUGUCAGACAGAAACGUGCGAAUUCCAGACCUGACUAAAUAUUUAGCUGUUGUGGUACCAAAAAAAAGCCUGUCCUUAAAAGUCACUUCUCAAUCACUUGAGAAUCAGGCGAUGUUAAAAUCAAAGUUGUAUCAUUGUGAGCACAAGAGAGUGGGGUUAGACCAGUGGUUUCAAUUCUGGCAUGUUUACAGUGUCUUUUCCACUAUAUGGGCAGGACAAGGUGCAAAAUUCUUGCAAGCAUGAUGGCAAUACGGUUUUCCUGCUUUUUAUUUUUUAGGGUAAAGUCUGAACAGCCAAACCACUACAAGUGGGGCAGAGUGAAAAGCUACAUCUCAGCUGCUUUGUACCUGCCUGUCCGUGCUGCACAACUUUGUCAUUAUCUCUAGCACUGUACAAGUGCCUGGUGUUUGGCAUGGGCUCAAGUUCAAGCUCUUCCACUGCCAGCAUAUCUGUUUCUGUGGUUUUCAAACCAUACCAGGCAUCCCAGCAUGACAUGUGCCGAUUCCACUCCGAGGACUACAUAGACUUCCUGCAGAGAGUGAGUCCCAAUAACAUGCAGGGAUUCACCAAGAGCCUCAAUGCCUUCAACGUGGGCGAUGACUGCCCAGUGUUUCCAGGCCUCUUUGAAUUUUGCUCUCGCUAUACUGGGGCCUCCCUGCAGGGAGCAACACAGCUGAACAACAAGAUCUGUGAUAUUGCAAUAAACUGGGCAGGGGGCCUGCAUCAUGCCAAAAAGUUUGAGGCUUCUGGGUUUUGUUAUGUUAACGACAUAGUUAUUGGCAUCCUGGAGCUGCUCAAAUAUCAUCCACGUGUUCUAUAUAUUGAUAUUGAUAUCCAUCAUGGAGACGGUGUGCAGGAGGCUUUCUACUUGACGGACCGCGUCAUGACGGUGUCAUUUCAUAAAUAUGGGAACUAUUUCUUUCCUGGUACAGGUGACAUGUAUGAAGUUGGUGCAGAGAGUGGUCGUUACUACUGUCUCAACGUGCCUUUACGAGAUGGCAUUGAUGAUCAAAGUUAUAAACACCUCUUCCAGCCAGUCAUUAACCAGGUGGUAGAUUACUAUCAGCCCACCUGCAUAGUACUGCAGUGCGGUGCUGAUUCUCUGGGUUGUGACCGUUUGGGUUGUUUUAACCUCAGUAUAAGAGGACAUGGGGAGUGCGUGGAGUAUGUAAAGAGCUUCAACAUCCCCUUGCUGGUACUGGGAGGAGGUGGUUACACAGUUCGCAAUGUGGCACGAUGCUGGACUUAUGAAACAUCAUUGCUUGUAGAUGAAGCAAUUAGCGAAGAGCUCCCAUACAGUGAGUACUUUGAAUACUUUGCUCCAGACUUCACCCUUCAUCCUGAUGUCAGUACGAGGAUUGAAAAUCAGAACUCCAGGCAGUACUUGGAUCAGAUCAGGCAGACGAUAUUUGAGAAUCUGAAAAUGCUGAACCAUGCUCCCAGCGUGCAGAUCCAUGAUGUCCCUUCUGACUUGCUCAGCUAUGAUCGCACAGAUGAGCCUGAUCCAGAGGAAAGAGGCUCUGAGGAAAACUACAGCAGGCCUGAAGCUGCCAACGAGUUUUAUGACGGUGACCACGAUAACGACAAAGAGAGUGACGUUGAGAUCUGAGGGCUCUGAUGUGGGGCUCUGGACUGUGGGGGGUCCCGCAUUGGACAUGGGUGCUUGGAGCAGAUAACUGGGCCAUGUAGGAGCCAGUUAGCCCUUCCUUCAUAUUUGAUUGCAUGCGGUGGCAGCAGAAACAACACUACUGCAAGCUUCCGCUACCUGGAGAGGCAGAGAGCAGUGAAAUGUGUUCCUUACUUUCCACCAUGUGUCAUGGUUCCAGCUGUCAGCACUCUGGGAAAUGGAAAUUCAAGUAGGCUCCAAUCUGUGCUGUGUGCUGGAUGGCAGCUGUGCAGCUGCCUUCAGAGCCUGACCCAUGCUGGUUCAAUCACCUCCUGUAACUCCUGUGCAGGCUUCUGCCAGCAAGGUGGGAGCUGGAGCAGUUGUGCCUAUGAUCUCUGCCUCUCUUCAGCAGCAACACCUGAUACAUCGUACCCUGCCUGGCCCUCCACUCAGGUACCCAGUUGACUGUCCUCUGAAGCCUGCACUGAGAGUUGCUUCCUGAUGUCCCUUCUAACCAUCUGAUGCUCCACAGCUCAAGGAAAACUAUGCGAGAAGACAAGGCCAGCUGUGGAAUAGGGGUCAGGAGUGUCCCUGGAGCAGGGAGCAGCUUGAUGGAGCAGGAUGGAAGAAUGUAUGCAGAGCACAGUUUUGUUCAUUCCCCCCCACUCAGUUUUGUGUUCACAAAUGAGUACUGCAACACUUUGCCAAGUUGGACCUAAAUUCCCUGUUUUCUUUAUUCUUCGAGAGGCUAAAAUCACUGUGGAACAGAGGUUUGGCUGCCAAGGUUUUGGUGAAUGGACGCCAGAGUGUGGGAUCCAAAGCGUUUCAGGAGCGCCUCUGUCAUGGAAAGUGGAGAGGCAAAACCUGGCUCAGUGGGGACUAAGUAGGGUCCUGAUUACAGCUGGAGGUGAACCUGAGCAAGGAGAAGCAACAGCCUCUGAGGGAGAAGAAUGUGGUGGUCUGGGGGAGGUGGUG